Molecule: transfer RNA, 58 nt
Filed under: Canis lupus familiaris (dog)
Lineage: Eukaryota; Metazoa; Chordata; Mammalia; Carnivora; Canidae
Also listed under: 1 other name
Rfam family: tRNA
About the family: Transfer RNA (tRNA) molecules are approximately 80 nucleotides in length.
Source: Rfam by way of RNAcentral
UGGCUCAAUUGGUAAAGCAUGAGACUCUUGAUUUUGGGGUUGUGAGUUCAAACCUCAC